AUACUUACCGGGCAGGGGAGAUACCAUGUCAGAAAGGUGGUUUUCCCUGGGCAGGACUUAUCCAUAAUGUUCACAACUUUUUGAAGCAUGUCAGCAAAAUGAAUACAAGUGUCUUUUCCUUCCUCACCGUUUCACAGACAGUAAAAUUUAUGCUUAGGGCAGAUUUUAGUAGCCUCA
Molecule: small nuclear RNA, 177 nt
Filed under: Peromyscus maniculatus bairdii (prairie deer mouse)
Lineage: Eukaryota; Metazoa; Chordata; Mammalia; Rodentia; Cricetidae
Description: U1 spliceosomal RNA (ENSPEMG00000000846.2)
Source: RNAcentral